This 497-nucleotide ribosomal RNA is filed under the name uncultured bacterium. RNAcentral describes it as "partial 16S ribosomal RNA". It matches the Rfam family "Bacterial small subunit ribosomal RNA", at positions 28 to 507 of the family's 1533-position model. The record is from RNAcentral.
GAUGAACGCUGGCGGCGUGCCUAAUACAUGCAAGUCGAGCGAACGGACGAGAAGCUUGCUUUUCUGAUGUUAGCGGCGGACGGGUGAGUAACACGUGGAUAACCUACCUAUAAGACUGGGAUAACUUCGGGAAACCGGAGCUAAUACCGGAUAAUAUUUUGAACCGCAUGGUUCAAAAGUGAAAGACGGUCUUGCUGUCACUUAUAGAUGGAUCCGCGCUGCAUUAGCUAGUUGGUAAGGUAACGGCUUACCAAGGCAACGAUGCAUAGCCGAACUGAGAGGGUGAUCGGCCACACUGGAACGGAGACACGGUCCAGACUCCUACGGGAGGCAGCAGUAGGGAAUCUUCCGCAAUGGGCGAGAGCCUGACGGAGCAACGCCGCGUGAGUGAUGAAGGUCUUCGGAUCGUAAAACUCUGUUAUUAGGGAAGAACAUAUGUGUAAGUAACUGUGCACAUCUUGACGGUACCUAAUCAGAAAGCCACGGCUAACUACGUG